UGCAUGAUUCUGCCCUUGGUGUUUGUGGUGGUGGGAAUAAAGAGGUGACUUCCAGCUGGUAUUGUCUGCUUAGAUUAAAAAAGGUAUAAGUACUCAAAUAGUCCCAGGUUCUCAUGUGAGCACCAACCAAGGUUGUAGGUGCAAAAGCAGAUCAUCAUGGGAUUACCAUGGUUAACAGCAAUGUGGAAGUUUUUUAUGUUUUACAACUAAAGAUGAAGUGAUUAGAAAUGCAGAAUGGACAUAUCUGAAUUCAGGCUGAUUACUGGUUUCACAGUGAUUGAAAACCACAUGUCCUAGUGGGAAUCUCUGUAAACAGGAUUGGUUUGGAGUCUAUGUGCUAUCAAAGUGAUGUGUGGCUUCCCAGAACACUGCUUGAGGGAGGCUUCCCUGUUGCACUUUGAGUCAUUGUAGUGUGUGACACUGGAGAUUUCUGGUCUGAAAGCUUACUGAAAGCCUCACCUGAUGCCUCCCUCCAUGCCCUCUGAUGCAAUCCUGGUACAUAAUUGCCAAAAGUUCAUGGAGUGGUUUAUUGACAAAGCCCUUGGACCAAAUGUAACUAGCAGGAGUCUCUCCCUUGAGUCUUUGUAUCCAUGGACUUGGAGGAAAUCCUGGCACCUGGGUGAAGAGGAUGAUUCACAAACAUGUUUUUCUACUUGUGUUUUUCACCAGGACAGAAGACCUGAACUACAGAGCCUCAGGGCAGAAAAGUAUCAGAUUCCCCCAUGGAUGAGUGGACAGCUGGUGGAAAGAGCUGUAUCUCCUUGUGACAUGUCAGGAUGGUCGCGACUGCUAUUCCCAGAUGGAACAGAGUUUUUACAAGGAUGGAGAUAUUGAGGUUGCUGCUUUUUUGCACAUUUACACAUAUGAUGUUCCCAGAAUUGAGAGAAGUUUCAGCAAAUAUCGCAGAUUCAGAUGGUAAGUUCUCCUUGCCAUAACCAUUUUCCAUUUAUUUACAUAUUAGCUACUUUUUAUUGGGUCUGCAAAUGGAUAGGCAAAUAUGUUCUGUAUCCCUGCCUUGUCCAUCUUCUGUCCCUCCUAAAAACUGCUGGUAAUUGAUUUGGGGCAUGAGGAAGGCAUUUCUUUCUGCCUGGCACCGUGGAUGGCUCAGGGAAAUGUUGUCUCAUCAGAGGGGGAACCAGAAUCUGGUCGGUAUCCUCCUAUCCUUCCCUGUCCACUUUCAUCAGCUCCGGGGCCUAUUGUGCCUCAGUAGUAGAUUCUUACAGAACCCAUGCGCUGAAAUGAAUGAACUGAAUUACAUGAGCUCUUUCACAUGUGCUCACACUCUUUUCUGCUACGUACUAGAUUUGGGGCCAUGAGAACACUUCAUUUCUUCUACAGUUGUAAAGGAGAAAAGAUUCAAAAUUUUUUUCUAUGUAAAAGUAAUCUCAGGGCAACACCUUUGCACAAAUAUAAUAAUUAUAUUUUACUGAUGAAUAUACUUAUAAGAAUUUCAAUGGUUGUAAUCUACUACAUUUACAGUGUUU
This 1484-nucleotide long non-coding RNA is filed under the name Oryctolagus cuniculus (rabbit). Its description in RNAcentral is "lncRNA (ENSOCUG00000031565.1)". The record is from RNAcentral. Lineage: Eukaryota; Metazoa; Chordata; Mammalia; Lagomorpha; Leporidae.